This 76-nucleotide transfer RNA is filed under the name Thermobaculum terrenum ATCC BAA-798. Its description in RNAcentral is "tRNA-Gly (GCC) (tRNA-Gly-GCC-1-1)". It matches the Rfam family "tRNA". Rfam says of the family: Transfer RNA (tRNA) molecules are approximately 80 nucleotides in length. Their secondary structure includes four short double-helical elements and three loops (D, anti-codon, and T loops). The record is from RNAcentral. RNAcentral also lists the same sequence under 1 other name. Lineage: Bacteria; Bacillati; Chloroflexota; Chloroflexia; Thermobaculales (SeqCode); Thermobaculaceae (SeqCode).
GCGGGGGUAGUUCAGUUGGUAGAACGCUUCCUUGCCAAGGAAGAGGUCGCGAGUUCGAGUCUCGUCCCUCGCUCCA